RNAcentral lists this ribosomal RNA (253 nucleotides) under uncultured bacterium. RNAcentral's name for it is "partial 16S ribosomal RNA". It matches the Rfam family "Bacterial small subunit ribosomal RNA", at positions 524 to 776 of the family's 1533-position model. The record is from RNAcentral.
UACGGAGGGCGCAAGCGUUGUUCGGAAUUACUGGGCGUAAAGCGCGUGUAGGCGGCCAGGUAAGGCGGAUGUGAAAGCCCGGGGCCCAACCCCGGAACUGCACCCGAUACUGCCUGGCUGGAGUCCCAGAGAGGAUGGCGGAAUUUCCGGUGUAGAGGUGAAAUUCGUAGAUAUCGGAAGGAACACCAGUGGCGAAGGCGGCCGUCUGGACGGUGACUGACGCUGAGACGCGAAAGCGUGGGGAGCAAACAGG